This 253-nucleotide ribosomal RNA is filed under the name uncultured bacterium. RNAcentral's name for it is "partial 16S ribosomal RNA". It matches the Rfam family "Bacterial small subunit ribosomal RNA", at positions 524 to 776 of the family's 1533-position model. The record is from RNAcentral.
UACAAGGGGGGCAAGCGUUGUUCGGAAUUACUGGGCGUAAAGGGCUCGUAGGUGGCCAACUAAGUCAGACGUGAAAUCCCUCAGCUUAACUGGGGAACUGCGUCUGAUACUGGAUGGCUUGAGUUUGGGAGAGGGAUGCGGAAUUCCAGGUGUAGCGGUGAAAUGCGUAGAUAUCUGGAGGAACACCGGUGGCGAAGGCGGCAUCCUGGACCAACACUGACACUGAGGAGCGAAAGCCAGGGGAGCAAACGGG